RNAcentral lists this ribosomal RNA (1234 nucleotides) under metagenome. Its description in RNAcentral is "bacterial LSU rRNA". It matches the Rfam family "Bacterial large subunit ribosomal RNA", at positions 1564 to 2808 of the family's 2925-position model. The record is from RNAcentral.
UGAAUACGAGAUGCUACGGCGUCGAAGCAGUCUAUGUCAUACUUCCAAGAAAAGCUUGCACUGUCAUAAACAAAUAAUGCCUGUACCAUAACCGACACAGGUGGGUAGGUAGAGUAUACUAAGGGGCGCGAGAUAACUCUCUCUAAGGAACUCGGCAAAAUGACUCCGUAACUUCGGGAGAAGGAGUGCCUUAUUUAUAAGGUUGCAAUAACAAGAUCCAAGCAACAGUUUACCAAAAACACAGGUCUCCGCUAAGUCGUAAGACGAUGUAUGGGGGCUGACGCCUGCCCAGUGCCAGAAGGUUAAAGAAGUUGGUUAGCAUCCGCGAAGCUGAUAACUGAAGCCCUGGUGAACGGCGGCCGUAACAAUAACGGUCCUAAGGUAGCGAAAUUCCUUGUCGGGUAAGUUCCGACCCGCACGAAAGGCGUAAUGAUUUGGAUACUGUCUCGGAGAGGGGCUCGGUGAAAUAGACUUGUCUGUGAAGAUGCGGACUACCUGCACCAGGACAGAAAGACCCUAUGAAGCUUUACUGUAACCUGAAAUUGAAAUUGGACUUUACUUGCGCAGUAUAGGUGGGAGGCGUUGAGAAUAUUCUUGCGGGAUUAUUGGAGCCAUCAGUGAGAUACCACUCUUGUAAUGUUAGAUUUCUAACUUUGUAUCAUUAUCUGGUCAAAGAACAGUUACAGGCGGGCAGUUUGACUGGGGCGGUCGCCUCCUAAACGGUAACGGAGGCGCACAAAGGUUUCCUCUGAACGGGUAGAAAUCGUAUCUAGAGUGUAAAGGCAUAAGGAAGCUUGACUGUGAGACCUACAAGUCGAGCAGGGACGAAAGUCGGUCUUAGUGAUCUGACGGUGCUGAGUGGAAAGGCCGUCACUCAACGGAUAAAAGUUACUCUAGGAUAACAGGCUGAUCUCCCCCAAGAGUUCACAUCGACGGGGAGGUUUGGCACCUCGAUGUCGGCUCAUCGCAUCCUGGGGCGGUAGUACGUCCCAAGGGUUGGGCUGUUCGCCCAUGAAAGCGGUACGCGAGCUGGGUUCAGAACGUCGUGAGACAGUUCGGUCCAUAUCCGGUGUAGGCGUUAGAAUAUUGAGAGGAGCCUUCUUUAGUACGAGAGGACCGAGAAGGACAUACCUCUGGUGUACCAGUUAUCGUGCCAACGGUAAACGCUGGGUAGCUAUGUGUGGAGUGGAUAACCGCUGAAAGCAUCUAAGUGGGAAGCCCACCUCAAGAUAAG